GAAUUUCAGUAAUUAUGUAGAUAUUACUUAUUUUAUUUAUUAUAUAGUUCUGUUUGUCUAAUUCUCACUCUGUGUUUCUGUUUUCUUUCAGAUUUCUCCAAGAUCGUCAUCAUCAUUACUGGUGUGUGUGUGAUUGUGCUGCUGAUCUGUGGAUUCACUCUCACUGUGUGUAAAUUAAGACGCAAGAGAACAGAAAUAACCUCCACAUCGGACAAGGGAAAGAGAGUGAAAAACACAGCGUCAUCAGACAGCAGACGUGAUCCUGGAUCAGCAGAGAUGACCAGUCCUGAUGAAGGAUCUUCUGAUGAGCUUCUGUACGCAUCCGUCACUUUCCAGAAGCAACAAGAGUCUCUCAGUGAAGCUGCAGUCACCUUCAGGACACGUCAGGUUUACUCUGAUUAUACCACAGUCAGUCUCAAAUCAGACUGUCUAUCUCACUGAUAACUGCAGGGUUUUAAUAAACUGUGAUAUGCACGUGCUUAAUCUGUUCCUCGUUUUUUUAAUCAGGGUAAUUCACAUCAGUUCAGUGUUGACCCAUGAGACACUUUUUAGUUUCCACUGAUGAUGUUCUUUCACAUUUAAAAUAGCAUCUGUGUGAAAUGUUUGUCGUCUUGCUUCGAGGGUGUGAUGAACACAGGAAAUAAAGCACUGAGAGAAGUUUCCACUGCAAACACAGAGACACACUUAGUUAUAAUGAGUUUAAUCUUUGCACUGGUACAGAAUGUUUGGAAUGUUUAGAAUAUCACAAGUUUUAGAACCUGACACUGUAUUCCGCAGUUUCCAUGGCAGUGCAUCUAUUUUCUUCAGUUAAGAAUAAUGGCAGAUUUAAAUUCUUUGUUUGAUGUUCUGGAACCUGCGUUCGAAGUUCUGAACAUUCUAAAUGCCCCAUGUGGAAGUGCACUGCAGCCCUUAAAGCGGUCACAAUCCUUUUACCUGCUAUAGAUUUGUACUUGUGUGUUUCUCAUUUUGCUCUGUUAGUCGUUUUCCUGAAAUAUUGUUUAUUAAAUGGUAUUCAUGAAGAAUAUUUAACAUCAGUUAUGGUUAGAGUUAGGUUAAUUUAAAUCAUUAAAAUGUUUUUUUCAAUAAUCAAUUCACUAAAAAUGUUCUUUGAGAUAUUAAAUAAGUUUCUUUUCUGGCAUCACUGCAUUUAGAAGCUCUCAUGCAUUAAAUAAACUUCAUUGCAUAAUCAUAUAUUUUACAGAAAAUUAUAAAUAUUCUUGAUUUGCUUUUGUUUCUAGUUUAUUGCCCAAAUUAAAUGAGUGGAUUCAGAGAGAUCCAGAGAAGCAACAGUACAAGAAAAUAAUUAUUAUCUAUAAUGUUGUGUUUUAAUUGCAGAACUAAUCUAAAUAUUCACAUAUGAACUAUUUGUCAGUGGUCCAGUCAGUACAAUAUUAAAACUGGAUUUUUUAAUGAUUAUGAUCUGUAUUAUUAAUUGUUAUUGUGAUCUCGAGGCUCAAACAUGACCUGCGUUCUGUUGGUGUUUUAAUGCUUGUGGAAUGUAAGGUUGUUUUUUCCGUCCAGCUCAAAGCCACAGAAGCAGGUGAAGGUUCAGGCUCUCGGUUUAGUUUGACUGAACAUUACAGAGACUCUCAGGCGCUGAAGAUUAAAAGAAGACAAAGAGCUGCAAAUCCUGUGUUCAUCUUCAUCUAUUGAAGUCGAAAUGUCAUUGACUAUUUUUAAUUCGGCCAAUGAAUAUAAAAGUCAGUAGCGUCCAUUUUGCUUUUCUGUGCUCAAGACAGAUGCAAAGAUAAUCUGCCUGAUAAUCUGGACAGAGAUAUGACAGUAUUGUUGAAUGUCAAAUGUUUGUACAGGGGUUUAAAUGUUUAAAUGUGCAUAUUUUAGCAACAAAACUUAAUUAUGAAAGCAUUUUUAAGAUGUAAAUUGUGUAAUUUCGGGAGAAAAUACCUUUGAUUAGCAAGAAU
Danio rerio (zebrafish) is the source of this 1922-nucleotide non-coding RNA. NCBI's taxonomy places the organism in Eukaryota, Metazoa, Chordata, Actinopteri, Cypriniformes, Danionidae. The record is from RefSeq and is a predicted model, not a curated record.